This 253-nucleotide ribosomal RNA is filed under the name uncultured bacterium. RNAcentral describes it as "partial 16S ribosomal RNA". It matches the Rfam family "Bacterial small subunit ribosomal RNA", at positions 524 to 776 of the family's 1533-position model. The record is from RNAcentral.
GACGAGGGUCCCUAGCGUUGUUCGGAAUCAUUGGGCGUAAAACGUGUGUAGGCGGCUUCGAAAGUCAGAUGUGAAAGCCCUGGGCUUAACCUAGGAAGUGCAUUUGAUACUACGGAGCUAGAGUAUCGGAGAGGGUAGUGGAAUUCCUGGUGUAGUGGUGAAAUACGUAGAUAUCAGGAGGAACACCGGAGGCGAAGGCGGCUACCUGGCCGAAUACUGACGUUGAGACACGAAAGCGUGGGGAGCAAACAGG